Molecule: ribosomal RNA, 501 nt
Filed under: uncultured bacterium
Lineage: Bacteria
Description: partial 16S ribosomal RNA
Rfam family: Bacterial small subunit ribosomal RNA
Source: RNAcentral
AUUGAACGCUGGCGGCAGGCUUAACACAUGCAAGUCGAGCGGGGGAAGGUAGCUUGCUACCGGACCUAGCGGCGGACGGGUGAGUAAUGCUUAGGAAUCUGCCUAUUAGUGGGGGACAACAUCUCGAAAGGGAUGCUAAUACCGCAUACGUCCUACGGGAGAAAGCAGGGGAUCUUCGGACCUUGCGCUAAUAGAUGAGCCUAAGUCGGAUUAGCUAGUUGGUGGGGUAAAGGCCUACCAAGGCGACGAUCUGUAGCGGGUCUGAGAGGAUGAGCCGCCACACUGGGACUGCGACACGGACCAGACUCCUACGGGAGGCAGCAGUGGGGAAUAUUGGACAAUGGGGGGAACCCUGCGCCAGCCAUGCCGCGGGUGUGAAGAAGGCCUUAUGGUUGUAAAGCACUUUAAGCGAGGAGGAGGCUACUUUAGUUAGUACCUAGAGAUAGUGGACGUUACUCGCAGAAUAAGCACCGGCUAACUCUGUACCAGCAGCCGCGGUAA